CCUUCGGGCCCUGCGCUAUCAGAUGAGCCUAGGUCGGAUUAGCUAGUUGGUGGGGUAAUGGCUCACCAAGGGCGACGAUCCNGUAACUGGUCUGAGAGGAUGAUCAGUCACACUGGAACUGAGACACGGUCCAGACUCCUACGGGAGGCAGCAGUGGGGAAUAUUGGACAAUGGGCGAAAGCCUGAUCCAGCCAUGCCGCGUGUGUGAAGAAGGUCUUCGGAUUGUAAAGCACUUUAAGUUGGGAGGAAGGGUUGUAGAUUAAUACUCUGCAAUUUUGACGUUACCGACAGAAUAAGCACCGGCUAACUCUGUGCCAGCAGCCGCGGUAAUACAGAGGGUGCAAGCGUUAAUCGGAAUUACUGGGCGUAAAGCGCGCGUAGGUGGUUAGUUAAGUUGGAUGUGAAAUCCCCGGGCUCAACCUGGGAACUGCAUUCAAAACUGACUGACUAGAGUAUGGUAGAGGGUGGUGGAAUUUCCUGUGUAGCGGUGAAAUGCGUAGAUAUAGGAAGGAACACCAGUGGCGAAGGCGACCACCUGGACUGAUACUGACACUGAGGUGCGAAAGCGUGGGGAGCAAACAGGAUUAGAUACCCUGGUAGUCCACGCCGUAAACGAUGUCAACUAGCCGUUGGGAGCCUUGAGCUCUUAGUGGCGCAGCUAACGCAUUAAGUUGACCGCCUGGGGAG
RNAcentral lists this ribosomal RNA (687 nucleotides) under uncultured Pseudomonas sp. RNAcentral's name for it is "bacterial SSU rRNA". It matches the Rfam family "Bacterial small subunit ribosomal RNA", at positions 207 to 880 of the family's 1533-position model. The record is from RNAcentral. Lineage: Bacteria; Pseudomonadati; Pseudomonadota; Gammaproteobacteria; Pseudomonadales; Pseudomonadaceae.